CACGUAGGCGGAUAUUUAAGUCAGGGGUGAAAUCCCAGAGCUCAACUCUGGAACUGCCUUUGAUACUGGGUAUCUUGAGUAUGGAAGAGGUAAGUGGAAUUCCGAGUGUAGAGGUGAAAUUCGUAGAUAUUCGGAGGAACACCAGUGGCGAAGGCGGCUUACUGGUCCAUUACUGUCGCUGAGGUGCGAAAGCGUGGGGAGCAAACA
RNAcentral lists this ribosomal RNA (207 nucleotides) under uncultured bacterium. RNAcentral's name for it is "partial 16S ribosomal RNA". It matches the Rfam family "Bacterial small subunit ribosomal RNA", at positions 568 to 774 of the family's 1533-position model. The record is from RNAcentral.